Molecule: ribosomal RNA, 1007 nt
Filed under: human gut metagenome
Description: bacterial LSU rRNA
Rfam family: Bacterial large subunit ribosomal RNA
Source: RNAcentral
UAAACGGCGGCCGUAACUAUAACGGUCCUAAGGUAGCGAAAUUCCUUGUCGGGUAAGUUCCGACCUGCACGAAUGGCGUAAUGAUGGCCAGGCUGUCUCCACCCGAGACUCAGUGAAAUUGAACUCGCUGUGAAGAUGCAGUGUACCCGCGGCAAGACGGAAAGACCCCGUGAACCUUUACUAUAGCUUGACACUGAACAUUGAGCCUUGAUGUGUAGGAUAGGUGGGAGGCUUAGAAGUGUGGACGCCAGUCUGCAUGGAGCCGACCUUGAAAUACCACCCUUUAAUGUUUGAUGUUCUAACGUUGACCCGUAAUCCGGGUUGCGGACAGUGUCUGGUGGGUAGUUUGACUGGGGCGGUCUCCUCCUAAAGAGUAACGGAGGAGCACGAAGGUUGGCUAAUCCUGGUCGGACAUCAGGAGGUUAGUGCAAUGGCAUAAGCCAGCUUGACUGCGAGCGUGACGGCGCGAGCAGGUGCGAAAGCAGGUCAUAGUGAUCCGGUGGUUCUGAAUGGAAGGGCCAUCGCUCAACGGAUAAAAGGUACUCCGGGGAUAACAGGCUGAUACCGCCCAAGAGUUCAUAUCGACGGCGGUGUUUGGCACCUCGAUGUCGGCUCAUCACAUCCUGGGGCUGAAGUAGGUCCCAAGGGUAUGGCUGUUCGCCAUUUAAAGUGGUACGCGAGCUGGGUUUAGAACGUCGUGAGACAGUUCGGUCCCUAUCUGCCGUGGGCGCUGGAGAACUGAGGGGGGCUGCUCCUAGUACGAGAGGACCGGAGUGGACGCAUCACUGGUGUUCGGGUUGUCAUGCCAAUGGCACUGCCCGGUAGCUAAAUGCGGAAGAGAUAAGUGCUGAAAGCAUCUAAGCACGAAACUUGCCCCGAGAUGAGUUCUCCCUGACUCCUUGAGAGUCCUGAAGGAACGUUGAAGACGACGACGUUGAUAGGCCGGGUGUGUAAGCGCAGCGAUGCGUUGAGCUAACCGGUACUAAUGAACCGUGAGGCUUAACCUU